Molecule: long non-coding RNA, 1406 nt
Organism: Musca domestica (house fly)
Lineage: Eukaryota; Metazoa; Arthropoda; Insecta; Diptera; Muscidae
Exons: 3
Source: RefSeq, a predicted model, not a curated record
AGCCAGUUCCACGAUAUCGAAAGAACACGUUCGCACAACUUUUACACGACAAACAGCUGAUUUCCGUUCCACUAAAAUCUAUCAGAACGAAAAUUUGCACGAAAAUCAAAGCGAACGAAAACGUAAGCAUUUCAGUGUAAUUUUGCGUUCCACUAUCUUUUUUCUUUCGUACGCAUGCGAACACAAAUGUCAAAAUCAGUCACUUGUGUGUUUGCUAUCGUAUAAUAACAAUUAAGGAAAAUUGUUUUAACAUAAACAUUGCUUGAUUGAAAAUGGAAACAAAAAUCUCGAAAAAAUCAUCAACUACACAGCUGCGGGCACUAGUUGAGUAAAUGGAGGAGAAUCCUGUGUUCGCCAGAUGAAUGCCAAUUUUUGGAAGCAGCAGAAGAAGUUUUAAAUCGGGGCGGAUUUGGGUAGUUCUGCAACCGGGCACCCACCUCUCUUCCAUCAUAUCCAAAAGAGUCCGAAAACUUCCUUCGACACACGAAAGUUGGCCACAAACCUAGAAAAAAUCAUUUUUUAUUAUUUCAAAAAUGUAAAAAUACAAUCAUACUUACUGGUUGUUAGGUACUUCAAAUAAAUUCGAAGCAUCUCUUAAAUUCCUCCGUGGCACAUUUCGAACCUCCUCCAUAAAAAAUAGGGCUACGGAAAUAUUCUUUUUUUUAUUUUCUAAGAGCACAAAUAGUUUGAACACAAUCAAUAGAAAUUUUAUUUUGUUUGUUUAUUUACAAUUUGUUUGUUUACAACUGAAAUGCCAGUUGAGACAGAGCCACUGCUGCUUUUUCGCGUUUAAAUUAGACAUUUGACGCUUUUUUUGCUUUAUUUCGCGAUUAAUUUUUCCAAAAAGAUAUUUUGCAACACUGAAUCACGUAAGGCUAUGCGAAAGAAAGAACGAAAGUUAUUGGAACGCAUUCUUAUACGAAAGUGAGUGAGUAGCCUUCGUUCGCACAAAUUUUCUUUCGAGAUCGUGGAACAGGCUGUAACAGCCAGUUCCACGAUAUCGAAAGAACACGUUCGCACAACUUUUACACGACAAACAGCUGAUUUCCGUUCCACUAAAAUCCAUCAGAACGAAAAUUUGCACGAAAAUCAAAGCGAACGAAAACGUAAGCGUUUCAGUGUAAUUUUGCGUUCCACUAUAUUUUUUCUUUCGUACGCAUGCGAACACAAAUGUCAAAAUCAGUCACUUGUGAGUUCGCUGUCGUAUGAUAACAAUUAAGGAAAAUUGUUUUAACAUAAACAUUGCUUGAUUGAAAAUGGAAACAAAAAUCACGAAAAAAUCAUCAACUACACAGCUGCGGGCACUAGUUGAGUAUAUGUAGGAGAAUCUGAGUUCGCCAGAGGAGUGCCAAUUUUUGGAAGCAGCAGAAGAAGUUUUAAAUCGGGGCGGAUUUGGGUAGUUCUGC